UACAGAGGCCUCGAGCGUUAGGCGGAAUCACUGGGCUUAAAGCGUGUGUAGGCGGACUUCUAAGUGCCUUGUGAAAUCCCACGGCUCACCCGUGGAACUGCUGGGCAUACUGGGAGUCUUGAGCCACCUAGGGGCGAGCGGAACAAAUGGUGGAGCGGUGAAAUGCGUAGAUACCAUUUGGAACGCCAACGGAGAAAUCAGCUCGCUGGGGGUGUGCUGACGCUGAGACACGAAAGCCGGGGGAGCGAACGGG
RNAcentral lists this ribosomal RNA (253 nucleotides) under uncultured bacterium. RNAcentral's name for it is "partial 16S ribosomal RNA". It matches the Rfam family "Bacterial small subunit ribosomal RNA", at positions 524 to 776 of the family's 1533-position model. The record is from RNAcentral.